RNAcentral lists this transfer RNA (63 nucleotides) under Ptilomera tigrina. Its description in RNAcentral is "tRNA-Thr". It matches the Rfam family "tRNA". From Rfam's summary of the family: Transfer RNA (tRNA) molecules are approximately 80 nucleotides in length. The record is from RNAcentral. Lineage: Eukaryota; Metazoa; Arthropoda; Insecta; Hemiptera; Gerridae.
GUUUUAAUAGUUUAAAAAAAAUAAUGAUCUUGUAAAUCAUAGAUAGUGUUCAACUUUAAAACU